UUUUUUUUUUGUCUAGUUUCCUAAUAGCCCUGAAAACAAACUUUUUUUCCCUUUUGAUAAGCAUUACCUAAGUUCUGAGAGACCAAAUAGAACAUUUGUAUGUCAAAGUCCCAGGGCAAGAACGCAAGUUCUUCCAGUUUCCCAAGGCCAGAAUUUUUAUAAUAGCUAUAAACCUUUUGAGAUGAAAAGGGGACGUUUUGUGAUCAGUUAAAAAAAAAAAAUGAAUUUUUUUUUCCUACUCUUGCAAAGACUCAAUUUGUAGGACAAGUUGUCCUCAAUUCGCAGGACAGUUGUUUUCAGUUCCUGAAAGAAUUGGGUUGUAACCUGAAUAAUACCAAGGGUGCUGACCCACCCAUACAACUAACUACAUUAUCUUCAAUUUGCUUCUUUACACCAGAGAGAGGAUCUUUAAAUAGAAAUCAAAAUAUUCCUAUGUUCCAGAUUUAAAGUUGUUUGUCUUUGGAAUGUUUUCAUUGCCCUGGGGGUGUAUAGUUUAAUUUUCGCUUAGGGGAGAAGGCCAAAAAUACUUUCCUGCCAGGCUUUGAAUAUUAGCUACCAGUUUGGCCAACUUCUAACCAUAGAGUUUCUUUAAAAAAAAGCUUUUCAAAUAUCUUUUCAACUUUCAACCAGGACAAGCAGCAAAUAUUCUGGCAAUAUUGAGCAACCCAAAGUAUUCUACUCUUUCCAAGAUCCAGAGUCACUUCCAAAAAUAGCCAAAAGAAAGAAAGACUUAGACAAUUCCCUUGAGAGCUGGCAACAGUUGGUAGGACCCUAACUACAAAUGUAAUGCAACACACAUUUCUGUCCAGCCAUAUUUUGGGACCCCCAACCUGAGGGUGGAGCUGCCUAUGUACACAAGAAUGGAUAACCUGUAUGUCCCAGGCAAACAGAAUGUGGAUCCAAGUUUUCAGGACACUGAACACAAACAACAAGGAAAUAGUUUUCCCUGGGAUAGAAAGGAGCCACAAUGAAUACCCCAAAACCAAAUCUGUAAGAGUCUGGAUUUGGAAAGUGACGUGAGAUUUUACUUUCCUUUCUCAGCCUGCCACCUCUGACAUCAGGAGACUGACUGGUAUUAAAAGGAGCUCUGGGAUGUUCAAGAAAUAAAUGUUACAUAGGAAUCUUUUAAUAAAUACACAAGCCGUCUGGACCCCAAUCCCCACUUCUCAACCACAAUUAAUAAAAAAGAGGAGGCAGCAACAAGCAUGGACCUGGGCAAAGAAGCAAACCCAUUAUGGAAUUCUAAGUAUCCUGUUACUUAACCAAAAGAAGUUGAAAAAAUGGUGGCUUAGAAUACUCAGGUCUAAUGACUCAGUGACAAAUCUCUUUGUCUGAGGCCCUGGGUCAGAUCCUUUUCAGGCACCUCUGAGGAGGCCUUCUGAUGUGAGCAUCCAAUAUGGAGUUGCUUCUUUCAGGCUUCCAAUAUGGAGUUCCUUAUGGCAGGCUUACCUGCUUUCGCUGCUAAACAUACCCCACCCUAAAAGGCAUGCUUGUGAAAGCCCAAACCAGAUAACUCCAUAUGUCAGGCAUGCCAGUGAACGCUCAAACUGGACAACACCACAUGUGGACUGUCCCCUCUUAUCUCCAACCCCCAGAUGGACGGACUGGACUAUAUAAGGGACCAGACACAGAACCCCUGUGGCAAGCUCAUCUCAGAGGUCCCAACACCAGAUGACAGACAUGUGCUCUGAGGUUGGCUCCUGCUUAUCUGCCCACUCUCCUGCUCUGUCACAGAUCUGUCACUCUACUGAACUGUCUCAGCUGCAUCUCCUUCCCCUUGGGAAAGACAAGAGGCUGACUGGGACAGCCUGGACUCGAACCAUCCAUCAUGACCAGUAUGAGAGGUACUGAUCUGUGACAUGUGUGAUUUUCAGAUAUGUGUGAUCCCCCCUUUGGGUGUUGUAUGAAAGGAAAUUGCAAAAUAAACUGUGUGAUUUGUGCAACCAUAAGUGUGUUAAUUUCAUUACUCCACCACCCUGCAGCUCUAUACUUCCUGACCCACUCGCAUCACCUCCCUACAGGGAGAGUAGAGGAAAACCUAGAAAACAGUUUUCCCCACUCAGAUCCAAUAUCCAGUACUUUUUUACUCCAAACCCUUCCCCAUUACCCUUCUCCUGACUUUAGGGUCCAUAAAACUGCCUGAGCCUUUUGCUGGGGCUCCCUCGAUAGUGAGAGGACUCCCGCCCGUCUCAGUCCUGAUCCAUCUGCCUUUAACCUGUGCACUGUCCAUAGGGGUGUUGGAAGGAAGAAAUUUCCUCUACCUUUCAAGGUUCUUCAAGCUGGUCUAAGAAUCAAAUUGAAAAGAGACAGGAGGAAAAAACAAAUUUAAUUAUAUACCUAAGGGGAAUCUAUAGACAAAUAAUAGAGACAGUCAGGGAAAAUAAAGUAUAUACGUUAUCCUCAACCAAGGGCAAGAGGUUAGGAGUCUGAGGUUUCAAAGGACUAUGAAAGAUUAAAUGUUUGGUAAACAAAUAAUUUGCUGGGCCACACAGAAAUAGUGGGACACAGAGAGGAAUAUUAAUAGACUGAGCCACAUCCCUGUCUACCAUACCUAGUUUACAUUAUAAUAUUGUUAUCUAUGGCGAUAGUUCUCCUCCUAGAGUUCCUCCAUCUAAAUUAUUUUUAUGCAGUUGUGGGGUGUGGGGGAUUAUCAAAGUGUCAUUGAGUCUUAGGGCAUUGUAACUCCGGGAAGAGGAAAUCCUGGGGCAAAACACCUCUAAAAGCAAAAUCAGUCAAAGGGAGAAAUAAAGUUUAAAACCCAUUUAUUGCUUAUAAACCGUGGUCCUGGGGCCAUCUCUUUCCUGCUCCAAUAGAAGCAAGCGAGAACUCCCCACAACCUCCAAUGUUCAGAUAAGCCCUCUGUCACCCAGGUAAUUUACCCAUUGAUACGGAGAUGAACUACUGCUCUCCACCCCUUAGAAACACCUAUUGAUAUGCAGAUGCUCUAAAGCCAGGUGAGAUAUAUUGGAAAUAUUACAAUUUUACCCAUAGGCCUUGUCUUCAGCUUACAUGUGACAAUGGCACAUUUUGUGAUAGCCUGCCCUUGGCCCCUACAGGGGAGAAUCAGAGGAAGUCAGUGGUUUCUCCAGUUUUAGCUUCUGUCUUAUAUAUGGGUAAAAUUGCAGUAUUUCUAGAAUCUCUUGCCUGGCCUUAGUCCAUCUCCAUAUCAAUAGGUGAUUACAAGGGUGGAGGGCCCGCAGAGGUUUGGUGGGGUCCCUUUUUGCAGCUGGCUCCUGAGAGACACAGGUGAGCAAAAGUGGACUACUGCUUGUAAGCAAUAAAUAGGUUUCUACCACUUUAUUUCUCCUUUGAUUUCUGCUUCAAAAGUAAUUUGCUCUGGGCUGGGAACUUAUUUUCCCUCCAUAGUUACAUUAUACCAUCACAGAAAGUGAAUAAAGGCUUAACUCUUUCUUCUUUGGCUUGUUGCUUUAUUUAUUUAUCCAACUAUCCAGGCACCUGACAGCUCAUUUCUCUGGUUCCCACCCAACCUGAGCUCCAGAUAAGGCACUUAGGCCCUGUCAAAGUUUGCUCCAGUAAACCUUCAGGGCAUCUUUUCCCCUGCAAUUUUCCCUAAUCUUCAUAUUCAGUCACACUGUACCUGCACCAGUCUCUACAGUUAUCCUUUCAUAUUCAGCGAUUUUGAACAAUGUUUUGUCUAGAAACUUUCCUUUCUUCUUGCCACUGAAUAAGAGAAAAAUAACUAAUAUUGCUAAAGAAUCAAUAUGAACAUAACUAGGUCAAUAUAAACAUAACUUCCUCUCCAAAGAUCUUCCCAUCUCACUAACAGGAGAUUACCUUUAUGUUACCCCAUCUUGUAAGAGCUUUGUCACAGUUAUAUAUAUAUCAAAUCAUAUUACAAUUUAUAUGUCUAUGUAGGAGUCAAAGGUAGGCUGCCCCCAAGUGUGCCACUGUGAUAUGUGAGCUGAACACAAUCAAGGCCCAAGACUCAAAGACAUUUUCACACACACACACACACACACACACACACACACACACACACACAAUGCACACACAACUUCAUAAAAAGAAUUUAGAUGGAGGAACUGCUCCAGAGGAGGACUAUCACCAUAGAUAACAAUAUUAUAAUGUAAAACAUGUAUGGUAGACAGGGAGGGGUGUCGCUAAAUUUGUUAAAAUUCCUCUGUUUCUCUGUGAACCUUGCUAAUGCUUUCUUCUCUAUUCACAUAGCACAGGACAGUAAGGAACAGUUUGCCUUCAUGUGAGAAGGCCAGCAGGGGACAUUCAUUGUCUUUUCACAGGGAUCCCUCCACAGUCCCACCAUUUGUCACGGACUUGUAGCCCAGGACUUGGCCACAUGGAAGAAACCACAAACAGUGUGGCUGUAUCACUAUAUCAUGAUAUCAUGAUAUCAUGCUCACAUCUGAUUCUCUUGAAGAUUUAGAAGGGGCAGCUCCUAGACUGCUGCAACAUCUACAGGAGAAAGGAUGGGCUGUGAACAGCAUCAAGGUUCAGGGACAUGGUUUGUCUGCAAAAUUCUUGGAGGUUGUCUGGUCAGAUAAAACUAAAGUUAUCCCAGAAGCAGUCAUAGACAAGGUCUAGGCUUUCUCUAACCCUACCACUGUGGUAGUAUUACAAGAGUAUUUGGGUCUUUUGGGUUGCUGGAGAGUGUUUAUACUGCACUUGGCACAAAUUCUGAAGCCCUUAUACUAGUUGGUACAAAAGGGCUUUAGGUGGGACUGGGAUAAAACAUGUGCAGCUGCUUUUACUGCUGUUUAGUGAGCAGUCAAGGCUAUACAGGCCUUGAGGGUAAUGUACUCAUCAAGACCCUGUGAGCUAGAUGUUCAUGUAACCAAAGAUGGUUAUGUGUG
Long non-coding RNA from Manis pentadactyla (Chinese pangolin), 4829 nucleotides. RefSeq lists it as uncharacterized. Lineage: Eukaryota; Metazoa; Chordata; Mammalia; Pholidota; Manidae. The transcript is spliced from 3 exons. The record is from RefSeq and is a predicted model, not a curated record.